CCUACGGGGUGCAGCAGUGGGGAAUAUUGCGCAAUGGGGGAAACCCUGACGCAGCAACGCCGCGUGAGUGAAGAAGUAUCUCGGUAUGUAAAGCUCUAUCAGCGGGGAAGAAGGAAGACGGUACCCGACUAAGAAGCCCCGGCUAACUACGUGCCAGCAGCCGCGGGAAUACGGGGGAUGCAAGCGUUAUCCGGAUUUAGUGGGUUUAAAGGGUACGUAGGCUGUGAGGUAAGUCAGCGGUGAAAUGCCCCCGGUCAACGGGGUGAAGUGCCAUUGAUACUGCCUUGCUGGAAUGCGGAUGCGGUGGGAGGAAUGUGUGGUGUAGCGGUGAAAUGCAUAGAUAUCACACAGAACACCGAUUGCGAAGGCAGCUCACGAAUCCGCGAUUGACGCUGAUGCACGAAAGCGUGGGUAUCAAACAGGAUUAGAUACCCUAGUAGUC
Molecule: ribosomal RNA, 442 nt
Filed under: uncultured bacterium
Lineage: Bacteria
Description: partial 16S ribosomal RNA
Rfam family: Bacterial small subunit ribosomal RNA
Source: RNAcentral